Balaenoptera musculus (blue whale) is the source of this 107-nucleotide small nuclear RNA. The record is from Ensembl. Lineage: Eukaryota; Metazoa; Chordata; Mammalia; Artiodactyla; Balaenopteridae.
AUGCUCGCUUUGGCAGCACAUAUGCUAAAAUUGGAACGAUACAGAGAAGAUUAGCAUGGCCCCUGUGCAAGGAUGACAUGCAAAUUCGUGGAGCAUUCCAUACUUUU